Long non-coding RNA from Coffea arabica (coffee), 896 nucleotides. RefSeq lists it as uncharacterized. The record is from RefSeq and is a predicted model, not a curated record. Lineage: Eukaryota; Viridiplantae; Streptophyta; Magnoliopsida; Gentianales; Rubiaceae.
AAGAACAGCCGGCCAAGGAAACAAAAGAAACAACUCAAAGCUCUUCAAGUUCCUCUUCAUUUCUUCAACAAAACACCACCAAACUCCACCAAAAUUGAACCACACCUAGCUAAUCACUUGGUGAUCAUCUUAAGCUAGAAAAGGGGCUUCAUUUCCACGGUUUUCUUGAGCUUCAAAGUGACCAAAAAUUAUGAUUUAGUCAUCAAGAGAGGCGCUCAAGAGGACCUUCAAGAGGAACUCGAAGUGGACACCUAGACACUUGUUUGAGUAUUUACUCUCUUGUUGCAAUAGGAUUCGAGACCAAUGGUGCUCGUGAGUAGUACUAGAUUGUUUUCUUUUGAAAAUUUUAAGUUAUAUUAUAACGGAUGGCUAUUGUACCCUUUUCCGUUGGGUUGUAUUUAAGUUUGAAAGUUACAUAAUUGUAAAGUGUGAGAUAUUUGAAGUACUUUAAUUAUGUAUUGAAACUAUUUAAAGUAUUUCGAGUUUUUGAAUGAUGGAUUGUAGUAAGUCCUGGCGAGAGUUGGGCAGGCGUCCCACGGAUACCCCUUUGGUUCACCUUAGAGAGAAGUGGGGGCGUCACAACUACUAAAAGCAAAAAGGAAUGUUGGCAACAUUUCAAAAGCUACAGGUAGCUCCAUCCAAUCAGAUAAAGAUUUCAAGAUUACGAAGAUAAGAAGAUAAGAUUCAAAUGAAAUGACAAUGAAACGAGCAUUUAAAUUCAUGUAUAAAUAGAUGUAGAAUUUCAAAAGACAGGCAUCGAUCAAUUUAUGUGAUCUGAGCCUUCUCUAUUAUAAAAACUCUCUCCUCAUAUUCGCUUCCACGCCCCACUCCCAUCUAAAUUCAAGAACAUUCAAAGAACUUUAAUUACGAGUAAGCUCAAAACUCUCUCUCUUCAA